GUGCUAGCUUCGGCAGCACAUAUACUAAAAUUGAAAUGAUACAGAGAAGAUUAGCAUGGUCCCUGCACAAGGAUGACACGCAAAUUCGUGAAGUUUUCCUUAUUUUU
This 107-nucleotide small nuclear RNA is filed under the name Mus caroli (Ryukyu mouse). Lineage: Eukaryota; Metazoa; Chordata; Mammalia; Rodentia; Muridae. The record is from RNAcentral.